GACGAACCGUACAAACGUUAUUCGGAAUCACUGGGCUUACAGGGUGCGUAGGCGGCGAUGCAAGUGAGGUGUGAAAUCCCUCAGCUCAACUGAGGAAUUGCGCUUCAAACUGCAUUGCUUGAGGAAGAUAGAGGUGAGCGGAACUACGGGUGGAGCGGUGAAAUGCGUUGAUAUCCGUAGGAACACCGGUGGCGAAAGCGGCUCACUGGGUCUUCUCUGACGCUGAGGCACGAAAGCUAGGGGAGCGAACGGG
RNAcentral lists this ribosomal RNA (253 nucleotides) under uncultured bacterium. Its description in RNAcentral is "partial 16S ribosomal RNA". It matches the Rfam family "Bacterial small subunit ribosomal RNA", at positions 524 to 776 of the family's 1533-position model. The record is from RNAcentral.